Long non-coding RNA from Homo sapiens (human), 1958 nucleotides. Ensembl annotates it as long intergenic non-protein coding RNA 951. NCBI's taxonomy places the organism in Eukaryota, Metazoa, Chordata, Mammalia, Primates, Hominidae. The record is from Ensembl.
GUCACCAUGUGAAGAAGAUCCUUGCUUCCCCUUCACCUUCUGCCAUGAUUUUAAGUUUCUUGAGGCCUCCCCAGCCAUGUGGAACUGUAAGAUGAAGUAAACACAUGGCAGCCUCUCUCUCCCACUGACGAUACAACCUUGAUAGAGGGCAUGGUGGAGCUAAUUGAAUGAUCCGAACAGUAAAUACCAGCAAGUAGAUGGGUGAAAACAGCCAGGAUUCCAAGUACCACAAAACUGGUGUUGAGUUGUGCACACUUUUUCCUCUGGAAUCUCUUGAGCAGAACUCAGCAUGACCUGAAACCCAGGAGUGAGCCGCACAGUGCCGACAAUGAGAUGCAGAAGAAAACCUCUGGUUCUGGCUGAAGCAGUGGACAAGGAGACUCUUGAAACUCAGAGCCUGGGGGCACCCCUGAUAGUGUUCUUUACUUUCUCUCCCUUCUCACAUUCCAGCCACCAGAGAAUGCAAGAGAGGAGUAGCAGUGGCAGUAAAUGUGGCAUCAACAACAACAACAAAAAGCAGGGACUAGGACUCUGAGGAAGGGAAGCCUAUAUUCUGGCCUCAGGGUGCUCUUUCUUCCUGCCUAGGGGUCAUAUACCACCUGUGGGCACCUCAGGACUCCUGACAACCUCACUUUUACCUGUUGCCUUUUUAGCCCAGGAUCAGUAGGUAUGGGGGUGCACAUGCUCUUGAGGACACAGCAGCUGUCACAUCAGGGAACCCGACUCCAGAACCCUCUGUAAAUAUCCCAUGGCUUGGCCCUGCCCAUCACCCCACCCAGGCCUCCUCAAAUGAGGAGCUAAAGCUGGCCCAUGGGGCCAAAGUGCAGAGGGUAGGGAUAAUGAGCCACUGGCCUUCUAGAACCUGGCAUGGUCCCUGAGUCAGCCAUGACACAGGCAGGGGAGGAGGGUGGGGCUGGGAUAAAGCUGGAUCUCAAGGGAGUUAGAUUUGUUCAGCCUAGGGGAGGGGAGCAGAGGAGAUGCUCUAAGAUGUGGCUUUACCAAAUGUUUCAAGGACACGGAUGGACCAAGCAAUGGCACCUGUGAUGAAAGAUUGAAGCCCAGGAGGUGGGGCUCCUGCUAAUCUCACUUGACUAUUGUAAGGCUCCACAAAAAGCAAGGUUCUUAGCAAUGUAGAUGGGGCUUUAUGGGUAGGAAAGGGAGAAACUGGUAUUUCUUUACGCAACUUCUGCUAAGCACCUCAUAUGUGCUAUGAUAACUAAUCCUCACUAAGCCCAUGACACAAAGAUUCAUGUUUUAGAUGAACAAGCUAAGAUAUAAAAAAGUUAAACAAGAGACAUCCAAGGUCACAGUCCUAGUAAGGGACAGGGCUGAGUAAGCCUUCAGUAAAUAUAUUCUCCUACCCCAGUAUAAAACCCAGAAAAGUCUUUAAUGUCCCAAGUCACGGAUCCUAACACAUGGGCCAUGAACUUUAGAACACAGAGCCCAGCAGCAAUGUGAGGGAGACGUAGAAAUCAAAACAACUCACAUUUAGUAACUUGCUGAAUGCUAGACAGUCUUCCCCAUGUUGUGAGAAAUGAAAGAACAUAGCCCCAUGACUUUGAGGUCUUUACAAGCCUCCCUGAAGAACUAGCUUCUCGAGCUGACAGACAGGCAUGUUUUCACAAAUUUACCAGGUACCUGUGACUCUGAGGAACACACCGCCUGGGCAAGGAUGGAUUGGCCAGAAAAUCACUCAGUCCAAGGUAGUUCUUACAGCCAGAAGAAUUCACGGGUGCUCUUAGUGGUUCUCAGACCUGCUUGUCUCAUUUAUUGAAGCUCAACUAAUGCCUUGAAGGGGAAGAAAUUAGCUUUCCAUCCAGUUAGGAAUGACUGUUGUGGCCUGGCGCAGUGGCUCACGCCUGUAAUCCCAGCACUUUGGGAGGAUGAGGCGGGAGGAUCACGAGGUCAGGAGUUCAAGACCAGCCUGGCCAAUAUGGUGAAACCCCAUCUCACUAAAA